Non-coding RNA from Podarcis lilfordi (Lilford's wall lizard), 73 nucleotides. Lineage: Eukaryota; Metazoa; Chordata; Lepidosauria; Squamata; Lacertidae. The record is from the annotation of a GenBank genome assembly.
GCCCCUUACAUCAUCUGCUUAGAGCGUGGGGCUGAUAACCCCAAGGUUGCAGGUUCAAUCCCUGUAUAGGGCA